AGGUGAGCAGAAAAACAAAAAACAAGCAACAUUUCAACACAGACUUCAGAUCAUAACUCCCCGGGCCAGCCAUCACUCCAAUGAGAAAAACUCAACCUACAACAACAACAACAACAAAAAAGGUCACAAGAUUCAGGAAUGGUCCCAAGGAUGAUGGAGCCACACUUUAUUUUGUCGUUGCACAAACUCAAAAAGGCUCUUCUGGUAACUCGGGGGGUGACAAAAAAAAACUUUUUUUGCGUCAAGCAAGACUUGCGCUACUUUGCUCGGCUGCAGCCGAGCGAGCUAUGUCACUGUGUCUCGAGCCAAACUAUUUCCCGAAGUUAUUCUCUUUUAAAGACCUAAUCUAAUAAAAUCUAAAGUGUCCCUAGAUUUAAAGACGAAAACAAUGUGUAACUACUGUGCUGCAGUGCCAUCUAGUGGCACGAUGUUGAACAGCAGGAUUCUUUCAAACAGCACUAGCAAGCUGUUUAAGAGGGUCUCUGGACCCAACAGCUGGGAUAGGUUGAAAACCAACACUAGGGGUAUAUGAUGCUAUGUUUUAGUUAGUAUAGUUAACUGGGGAAAAGGACAUCUUGUCUGUGUAGCGUCUGAGGCUGUCUCUGCAGGGGUUCAGGUAAUCUGAUUAAUUCCCUGUCUCUAUUAAUACUAGUGGCACCUAUUGUAUCUAAACAAUAAAGCUUAAUGCAGAAUGUAAUGUGGGUUAUCAAUCAAUCAAUCAAUCAAUCAAUCAAUGGUAAACAUUGUUAUUUUUUUUUUUAAUAUACUUCCCAUUCUCUUUAGUACUUUGUUCUGUAAUGUAGUUACAUGAUUAUCUUUCUGUGCAAAAGCCGACAGCAUUCAUUGUGAUGCGGUGAUAAUUAAAUCAUAUUCAGCCCCUGAUUCACACGGUAUUAUGAGGGUGCUUAUCGUGUGCUUUCUCCUCUUGAAUGGCUUCCAUUAACAAGUGUGUUGAACAUCCGAAAUGUUGAAUGAUCUCAAAUAAAAAUCCAAUGUUUAGCUCCCA
This is a long non-coding RNA of Acipenser ruthenus (sterlet), 1006 nucleotides long. RefSeq lists it as uncharacterized. The transcript has 2 exons. The record is from RefSeq and is a predicted model, not a curated record. Lineage: Eukaryota; Metazoa; Chordata; Actinopteri; Acipenseriformes; Acipenseridae.